GUCGAACGGUAGCACAGAGAGCUUGCUCUCGGGUGACGAGUGGCGGACGGGUGAGUAAUGUCUGGGAAACUGCCUGAUGGAGGGGGAUAACUACUGGAAACGGUAGCUAAUACCGCAUAACGUCGCAAGACCAAAGAGGGGGACCUUCGGGCCUCUUGCCAUCAGAUGUGCCCAGAUGGGAUUAGCUAGUACGUGGGGUAACGGCUCACCUAGGCGACGAUCCCUAGCUGGUCUGAGAGGAUGACCAGCCACACUGGAACUGAGACACGGUCCAGACUCCUACGGGAGGCAGCAGUGGGGAAUAUUGCACAAUGGGCGCAAGCCUGAUGCAGCCAUGCCGCGUGUAUGAAGAAGGCCUUCGGGUUGUAAAGCACUUUCAGCGGGGAGGAAGGUGUUGUGGUUAAUAACCGCAGCAAUUGACGUUACCCGCAGAAGAAGCACCGGCUAACUCCGUGCCAGCAGCCGCGGUAAUACGGAGGGUGCAAGCGUUAAUCGGAAUUACUGGGCGUAAAGCGCACGCAGGCGGUCUGUCAAGUCGGAUGUGAAAUCCCCGGGCUCAACCUGGGAACUGCAUUCGAAACUGGCAGGCUAGAGUCUUGUAGAGGGGGGUAGAAUUCCAGGUGUAGCGGUGAAAUGCGUAGAGAUCUGGAGGAAUACCGGUGGCGAAGGCGGCCCCCUGGACAAAGACUGACGCUCAGGU
RNAcentral lists this ribosomal RNA (700 nucleotides) under uncultured Enterobacterales bacterium. RNAcentral's name for it is "bacterial SSU rRNA". It matches the Rfam family "Bacterial small subunit ribosomal RNA", at positions 61 to 752 of the family's 1533-position model. The record is from RNAcentral. Lineage: Bacteria; Pseudomonadati; Pseudomonadota; Gammaproteobacteria; Enterobacterales.